AAGAUUGUGGACUCAUAAGACGUGGCUUAGAGUCUGCCCCCAGUGCCAUUUCCCUGGUUAGUGGUAAAGAACUGGUGUUUUGCGGGGAGACAGACCCAGGUUCCAAUGUCUGAUGUAACUCUGUGUGGCCUUGGGAUCUUUUGUAUGAAACUAUUAUGCUGGCAAUCCUUGGGAAAUACCAGAGAACAUGAUAAGUAGCAGGAAAUUCAAGACUGUAAAGUGUUCUGAUUUUAAAAAGGAGAAAAAAGUAUCCUCGCUAGACUACUGUCACCUCCAGAGUUAUCCUGUGCAGUGUGCAUUUUUCAGGUACAGGGGUCUCCCUAUGUUGCCCAGGCUCAUCUUGAACUC
Molecule: long non-coding RNA, 348 nt
Organism: Lemur catta (Ring-tailed lemur)
Lineage: Eukaryota; Metazoa; Chordata; Mammalia; Primates; Lemuridae
Exons: 4
Source: RefSeq, a predicted model, not a curated record